UGAAGAAGGAAUGCCGCCAUCAAAGGCUCUCAAUCUUUUGUGGUGGAGCAGGACCUGCAAGGUCCAUCACUUCACCUCUUACUGCCUCAUCUGGACUGGAUGUUGCUGUGGUCUCUUCAUCAUCAGUGACCCCAGAGCCAGCGAGAACAUCUAGAGAAAGACCAAAAGACAUUGAGGAUG
This is a long non-coding RNA of Sinocyclocheilus rhinocerous, 180 nucleotides long. RefSeq lists it as uncharacterized. The transcript has 2 exons. The record is from RefSeq and is a predicted model, not a curated record. NCBI's taxonomy places the organism in Eukaryota, Metazoa, Chordata, Actinopteri, Cypriniformes, Cyprinidae.